This 1677-nucleotide unclassified non-coding RNA is filed under the name Hevea brasiliensis (rubber tree). Lineage: Eukaryota; Viridiplantae; Streptophyta; Magnoliopsida; Malpighiales; Euphorbiaceae. The record is from RNAcentral.
UAUAAUUACAGUUCAUAUGAUAUUAGCCAUUAGUUUAACUCACUCUUAAAAAACAACCCAAAAGCUUUAUUAGCAUCACAAUUUGUAUAUGGUUUGCAAGUUCAAAAAUCGAUAACAAUGUAAGUUAGCUGAGCAUGACCCAACCAAUUCUUCCAGGAGCAAAGGUCAUAGCUGCAGCUGCAGCUGCAGCAAACCAAAAAACCAGACCUCAGAAAUGCACAUAAAUUAUUUUCUUUAAACAUGACAAAACAAACAGAACUCAGAACACACACAUUGUACGGAUACAUUAUUUUCUUCAACUUUAUUUUUGGACAACAGCAAAUUCAAAUUCCACCAACAUCAUCAAGGCACAAUCUUAUAAGCCUUCAUUUUAUCUAUCCAGUAAAUGAAGGAAUUCUUGGAAUUUCUGAACCCCAAAAACCCGUGCUCCUUGCUCUUAUUCAUGCUCGAUAUCACAGCUUCACCACCCAAUAUCAAAUCAGCAAACCACCACACACCCACGUCCUCCAACUUGGUGGGAUGCAGCUGAUACUCCCUCACUAUCUCUUCCCAUACUGGACCCUUAUCCUUCAUUAUCUCCACCAAAAUCAAUCUCUUUUCUCCUUCCUCAAACCCGUAUUUCUCAAUCCCAAACUCCUCUGCCAAAAUUUUCCAGAAAUGCUUCCACUUGAACACAUCUCCAUUGUUGCAAUUAAAGGCUUCAUUUCUUGCGUAAGGAUCCACUGAUGCCCAAAUAUGUUGCUCCGCGAUCAGAUCAGCAUCUGAGGCAAUCGAGUAACAAUUCCAGGCUUGUUUAGUUCCAGGGAACAGUAAAGGCAACCCUUCGUGUUUACAUAUAACGGCGUAAACACAAAGUGUACCAAUAAUAUUCAUCAAGCUGUAUGGAGAAAACCCAAAAAUCUGAUCAGGUCUGGAAAUGGACCAAGUCAAUCCCUCCUUCUUCGCUGCCUCCUCAAACAAGAUAUCCUCUAAGGUGUAGUAAAAAUUGGGCACAUUCAAUCUGGGUAGAUCCUCCGUGAACGGCGGAUCAUGCGGUUGGAUCUUGCCAAACAACUCGAAUGGACCCACAUAGUGUUUAGUCCCUGUUUGAAGGCAGAUGUGGCCGAGAUUAGGGGCGUUGGGGAUGACUGCCUGAAGGACGUUCCGGAGCAUGCUACCGUUAAUCUCGCAGUUCUCGGCCUCCGAUGAUCGGUUAGCCCAGGAGACAUAGAAGAUGUGAGUGACAUCAGUGAGCUGGGAUAACUUGGCUUGGGUUUCAGCCUGAUCGGAGAUGUCACACUGGACAUACUCUACAGGAUGGUCGGCGUUCCAGUUGGGCCGGGGACGGCGUGCGACACCGUAAACUUUCCACGGGCCACCGGGGGUGUCAGAAAGCGGGAGGAUUUCAGCUAGGCUGUUACCGACGAUGCCAGUCACGCCCAACACAAGGCCCACACUCUGGAAGCUUCGCGGUGCAUCAUCUUCGUCAAAUUUCUUCUUGGCGGCGCCAAUAGCGCCGGCCCACCACCAGCUCAUGUUGAUGAGGUGAUUAUUGUCGGAGGCGAAGCGAUGGGAUUUAAUUCAGUAGGGUGUUGUGUUUGGUAAUGCCUAACAGUCCGUCUUCGAUUCGCGGCUAUGGAUUGGAAUGACAAGAAAUGAGGAUUGUAAAUGAGAGGAUGCUAUUUAUAUGGAAAAUAG